GGUCCGCGGUUGAAUUUUUCUGAAGAGAACUUCUAUAAUUAUUUAUUCCAAAUAUUUUUGUACUUCCAUUAGUCUAAAUUCGAAUAAUAAAUAGUAAUUCUUAUUCCAAAUAAGAAUCUAGUAUUAUGAACUAAAUAAUUUGGUAUACCUUCGAAAGAGAUCGAAAUAUAUAUUGUUGUUUAUGGCUUUCUUCAAUUGUAUUUUAGAAGUUUAUAAAUGUUAUGUAAAAUUGAGAAUAAAAUUAUUUUAGACUGUCUAACUGAAUUUAAAUGUUGUAAACAAUUGGCUUAUAAAAUAAAAUAAAAUAUAUAUUUUUCAGAACAUAGUAUAGAAUUUAUAAAAUAACUAACACCAAUAUUAAUAGUUAUCACCAGUCGCGGGUUGGGCUGAUUCAAAAUAUGACACAAUUAUUUAAGAUAAUAUAUUCUAUAAAAUUCACAAUGGUGGAGGUCUUUUCAAAUAUGGUCUCAUUAAAGUUUUAUAAUAAUAAAUAAUAUGUAAAAUUUGUAUAAUUAAAAAAAUCAUUGUAAUUUUCACAAAUAAGUCAAUCUCUAAUUAUUCUUAAAAAAUCGAAACAUUUUUAUAUUGUUUUAUAAUUUUACAUAUAAAACACAUUUACAUAAUAUGAUACAUAAUCUUAAAGACAUCAAAUAAUCUUUAAAAAACAUGAUGAAAGGGAAAGUUUAGAUUAUUUAGUAUAUAAUCCAUGACAAUAAUGAUUUUUAUUUGAAUAUAAACAGAAUGUUUUGGUAAACUAAUACUAUACCAUAUUUACACCAUUAUUAACUGCAGAAUUUUUAUUCUAAAAUAACUAAAAAGACAUGAUUUGGUGUUUUUACGUCUUAUAGGAAACAAUAUAUUAUGGACAUUGACAAGGUUAUUGAUGAUGAGAAAUGUUUGUCUUAUUGAUUUUGAAGAUGAGUUGAGCAAUAAUGCAAAAUAUAUUACUGACACUGUUGUCGUGUUGUAUCUUGGCAAAUGGUAGUUUAGGCUACUAUUUGUUUAAAUGAUUUUCACGUAAAACGUAUCUUUUUGGUAACCAAUAUAUAAUAUAAUGGCCGUCUCGGUGCAAGUUCUAAUUAGAUACAUAAUUUGAAAAUCUUAUGUCAUAUUAUAUUCUAUAUUAAAAUAUUCCAUACAAUAUUUUGACUAUUAUAUAUAUAUAUAUAUAUAUUUGUUAAGGAAAUCUAUGUUUUUCCUAAUAUAUAUAUAUAUUCUUAAGUAAAUCUAUAUUUUUCAUAGAACUAAGAAUAUAUUUUUAUUUAUUUAUGAAUCUAUAAAAUAUUUUUUUGAGAAAAUAAGAACUGUGAUACAAACUAUUACUUAUAAUAUUAUUUCACUUCUGUAAAUGUAUGCAUGAAUUUCAUUAUAUCUAUAUAUUACCUAUUAAGAAUUGAAGAAUAUUUUUUUUAACUAUAUGAAAUUAGUAAAUAAAAUUGUAGUUGCUAAUUACUUUUGGCCACAUAUUUAAAUUUUCAAAAUUAGACACACACACAUAUAUAUAUAUGUAUAUAUAUGUCAUUAAUUGGUAAUUUUAUGUGGUGAUAUAUCCUAUCAGAACUAAAAUGAAAAUUUGGAACAACUAUUUAACAUAAAUGUUUUGGAAUAUAACGAAAAUAAAAAUAAUAAAAAAUUAUAAUUUCUAGUUUUUCGGAUCAUCUUAGUAAAACGUUUUUUGUGGCAUAUAUACCUGUCCAUAUUUAAGGUUAUUGAAGAUAAAUUAGUAAAUGCUAAUUUGGUAGCUAAUCUAUUGCUAGUUGAUUUUAUCCACAUAUUUAAUCAUUCAACGUUGCGUAUAUAUGGUUGUUGCUAUAUGGUAUUUUAAGGUGAUGACAUAUCGUAACAAAAAUUAAGAUAAAUGUUUGGAAUAAAAUUUUAAAAAAAAACUAACCAAUCAUUUUAAAACUGUUUUUCCGGAUAAUCCUAAAAAUAGUUUUCAGAGACUUAUAUAUAUGUAUAUGUUCACAUUUAAGGUUUUCUACAAUAAACACAUAAAAUAUUUAUUUACAGUGAAGAGUUAUAAUGUCAGCAUCUAAAUUUGCUAUAUUUUGUAUUGUUCUGGUGUUUCUUGCUAGUUGUCAUGAAUGUAUGUCAUAUAUUUCUUACAUUUCGUCUAAUCCCCUUUUAUUAUUAUCAUUAAAAUAAUAAUAAUAUCCUCUAUCAUCUUUUUAAUUUUUUUAAGUUUUAAAUUUUAUACAGGUGCCGACCUCAACAGAGGGCCCAAACCAACAUGCUCUAAAACACCAAAGAAUGUUUGGUGUUGCAGCAACAAUUCACACUGUCGGGAAACCAAAGCGCUAUGUGAGAAGAUUUGUUGGGUCCGCGGUUGAAUUUUUCUGAAGAGAACUUCUAUAAUUAUUUAUUCCAAAUAUUUUUGUACUUCCAUUAGUCUAAAUUCGAAUAAUAAAUAGUAAUUCUUAUUCCAAAUAAGAAUCUAGUAUUAUGAACUAAAUAAUUUGGUAUACCUUCGAAAGAGAUCGAAAUAUAUAUUUUUGUUUAUGGCUUUCUUCAAUUAUAUUUUAGAAGUUUAUAAAUGUUAUGUAAAAUUGAGAAUAAAACUAUUUUAGACUGUUUAACUGAAUUUAAAUGUUGUAAACAAUUGGCUUAUAAAAUAAAAUAAAAUAUAUAUUUUUCAGAACAUAGUAUAUAAUUUAUAAAAUAACUAACACCAAUAUUAAUAGUUAUCACCAGUCGCGGGUUGGGCUGAUUCAAAAUAUGACACAAUUAUUUAAGAUAAUAUAUUCUAUAAAAUUCACAAUGGUGGAGGUCUUUUCAAAUAUGGUCUCAUUAAAGUUUUAUAAUAAUAAAUAAUAUGUAAAAUUUGUAUAAUUAAAAAAAUCAUUGUAAUUUUCACAAAUAAGUCAAUCUCUAAUUAUUCUUAAAAAAUUGAAACAUUUUUAUAUUGUUUUAUAAUUUUACAUAUAAAACACAUUUACAUAAUAUGAUACAUAAUCUUAAAGACAUCAAAUAAUCUUUAAAAAACAUGAUGAAAGGGAAAGUUUAGAUUAUUUAGUAUAUAAUCCAUGACAAUAAUGAUUUUUAUUUGAAUAUAAACAGAAUGUUUUGGUAAACUAAUACUAUACCAUAUUUACACCAUUAUUAACUGCAGAAUUUUUAUUCUAAAAUAACUAAAAAGACAUGAUUUGGUGUUUUUACGUCUUAUAGGAAACAAUAUAUUAUGGACAUUGACAAGGUUAUUGAUGAUGAGAAAUGUUUGUCUUAUUGAUUUUGAAGAUGAGUUGAGCAAUAAUGCAAAAUAUAUUACUGACACUGUUGUCGUGUUGUAUCUUGGCAAAUGGUAGUUUAGGCUACUAUUUGUUUAAAUGAUUUUCACGUAAAACGUAUCUUUUUGGUAACCAAUAUAUAAUAUAAUGGCCGUCUCGGUGCAAGUUCUAAUUAGAUACAUAAUUUGAAAAUCUUAUGUCAUAUUAUAUUCUAUAUUAAAAUAUUCCAUACAAUAUUUUGACUAUUAUAUAUAUAUAUAUAUAUAUUUGUUAAGGAAAUCUAUGUUUUUCCUAUAAUAUAUAUAUAUUCUUAAGUAAAUCUAUAUUUUUCAUAGAACUAAGAAUAUAUUUUUAUUUAUUUAUGAAUCUAUAAAAUAUUUUUUUGAGAAAAUAAGAACUGUGAUACAAACUAUUACUUAUAAUAUUAUUUCACUUCUGUAAAUGUAUGCAUGAAUUUCAUUAUAUCUAUAUAUUACCUAUUAAGAAUUGAAGAAUAUUUUUUUUAACUAUAUGAAAUUAGUAAAUAAAAUUGUAGUUGCUAAUUACUUUUGGCCACAUAUUUAAAUUUUCAAAAUUAGACACACACACAUAUAUAUAUAUGUAUAUAUAUGUCAUUAAUUGGUAAUUUUAUGUGGUGAUAUAUCCUAUCAGAACUAAAAUGAAAAUUUGGAACAACUAUUUAACAUAAAUGUUUUGGAAUAUAACGAAAAUAAAAAUAAUAAAAAAUUAUAAUUUCUAGUUUUUCGGAUCAUCUUAGUAAAACGUUUUUUGUGGCAUAUAUACCUGUCCAUAUUUAAGGUUAUUGAAGAUAAAUUAGUAAAUGCUAAUUUGGUAGCUAAUCUAUUGCUAGUUGAUUUUAUCCACAUAUUUAAUCAUUCAACGUUGCGUAUAUAUGGUUGUUGCUAUAUGGUAUUUUAAGGUGAUGACAUAUCGUAACAAAAAUUAAGAUAAAUGUUUGGAAUAAAAUUUUAAAAAAAAACUAACCAAUCAUUUUAAAACUGUUUUUCCGGAUAAUCCUAAAAAUAGUUUUCAAAGAGUUAUAUAUAUGUAUAUGUUCACAUUUAAGGUUUUCUACAAUAAACACACAAAAUAUUUAUUUACAGUGAAGAGUUAUAAUGUCAGCAUCUAAAUUUGCUAUAUUUUGUAUUGUUCUGGUGUUUCUUGCUAGUUGUCAUGAAUGUAUGUCAUAUAUUUCUUACAUUUCGUCUAAUCCCCUUUUAUCAUUAUCAUUAAAAUAAUAAUAAUAUCAUCUAUCAUCUUUUUAAUUUUUGUAAGUUUUAAAUUUUAUACAGGUGCCGACCUCAACAGAGGGCCCAAACCAACAUGCUCUAAAACACCAAAGAAUGUUUGGUGUUGCAGCAACAAUUCACACUGUCGGGAAACCAAAGCGCUAUGUGAGAAGAUUUGUUGGGUCCGCGGUUGAAUUUUUCUGAAGAGAACUUCUAUAAUUAUUUAUUCCAAAUAUUUUUGUACUUCCAUUAGUCUAAAUUCGAAUAAUAAAUAGUAAUUCUUAUUCCAAAUAAGAAUCUAGUAUUAUGAACUAAAUAAUUUGGUAUACCUUCGAAAGAGAUCGAAAUAUAUAUUGUUGUUUAUGGCUUUCUUCAAUUGUAUUUUAGAAGUUUAUAAAUGUUAUGUAAAAUUGAGAAUAAAAUUAUUUUAGACUGUCU
Molecule: long non-coding RNA, 4891 nt
Filed under: Brassica napus (rape)
Lineage: Eukaryota; Viridiplantae; Streptophyta; Magnoliopsida; Brassicales; Brassicaceae
Description: long non-coding RNA (BNAP_LNC008052)
Source: RNAcentral